Long non-coding RNA from Anolis carolinensis (green anole), 1270 nucleotides. RefSeq lists it as uncharacterized. Lineage: Eukaryota; Metazoa; Chordata; Lepidosauria; Squamata; Anolidae. The record is from RefSeq and is a predicted model, not a curated record. The transcript has 2 exons.
AAAGGUAAAGGUUUCCCCUGACGUUAAAUCCAGUCAUGUCUGACUCUGGGGGUUGGUGCUCAUCUCCAUUUCUAAGCCAAAGAGCUGGCAUUGUCCAUAGACACCUCCAAGAUCAUGUGGCUGGCAUGACUGCAUGGAGCGCUGUUACCUUCCCACUGGAGCGGUACCUAUUGAUCUACUCAUAUUGGCAUGUUUUCGAACUGCUAGGUUGGCAGAAGCUGGAGCUAACAGCGGCCACUCAUGCCGCUCCUGGGGUUUGAACCUGGGACCUUUCGGUCUGCAAGUUCAGCAGCUCAGUGCUUUAACACACUUUGCCACCGGGGCUUCAUUCUGCAUCAAAGGUGCAGCUAAUUUAUCAUAGCUAUGAUCUUCUCCUAAUCCAAACAUUGAAACCUGCUUUUAAAACCAGUUGGUAAUUCUGAACAAUGGUGUGUUGCAGUACAGGUGAACAAGACACUGCAAGAUGACACAAUCCACUUCAAUGGUGUCAAGAGAAGAAGCAGAAACCCCUGUGCGGUAGUCACAACUCUCUGUUGCAUCAUUUCUCAUUGGUGGGAGGAAGCUGGUUGUGCCACCAUGCAGCACCCUCCUGGCCAGCUUCCCAGAACUCCAUUCAGAAUGGCUGAGUGGCUUUUAAGAUUGGUUUAGGGACACUUGCAAUCAUCACCAUGGUACCCAUGAUUUUAUAUAUGAAUAGAAAAUAGUUCCAUUGUCUUAGGUCUAAGGAAUGACAUGGUAAAUGACUCAUAGGAUGCCAACCAUAGAUUUACAUUUCUCCUUUUCUUUUUUGUUGUCUCAAUUUAGAUUGCCUUGUCUAUAUAUCAGAAAGCACAGAAUGUGGGCAAACCUUCCUUCAAUGUUAUCAAACAGGAAAGGGGAGAUAAAUUCUGUCCAAAACUGAUGAAUAUCAUAGAUUCCUGUUUGGAGCCCACACCUAUCUUUGAGAAAGAGGCACUCUGAUUCAAGCAACAGCAGUCUCACAUUACUUUUAUGAGGUUUCCAGUCUUCAGCUUGAGCUACAUGAAAGUGAUAGAAAACAGUGGGAAAACACUAACGUUUUUGGAAGGCAGGAAGGAAGCCUAGCCCAGCACACAGUUGCACAGAAGGUCACAAAACUCUUCCAGCCAUCUGGACAAAACUCCCACACAAAUGCAUCAAGUCCACUAAAGACAAAAGGAUCCUCCAAUGGACAUCAAAAAUAUAAAAGGAAAAGAAAACUCAGGAAAUGAGGAAGAAAAAAUCAUGAAUUAAAGAACACAUCUGAAACCCA